UGAACGUUUCAUGUGCUGCUAGAAUGCUU
Molecule: non-coding RNA, 29 nt
Filed under: Bombyx mori (domestic silkworm)
Lineage: Eukaryota; Metazoa; Arthropoda; Insecta; Lepidoptera; Bombycidae
Source: RNAcentral